This 1705-nucleotide ribosomal RNA is filed under the name Campylobacter coli. RNAcentral describes it as "partial 23S ribosomal RNA". It matches the Rfam family "Bacterial large subunit ribosomal RNA", at positions 1239 to 2925 of the family's 2925-position model. Lineage: Bacteria; Pseudomonadati; Campylobacterota; Epsilonproteobacteria; Campylobacterales; Campylobacteraceae. The record is from RNAcentral.
UUCUAUUUGCGUCGAAGGUAUACCGGUAAGGAGUGCUGGAGCGAAUAGAAGUGAGCAUGCAGGCAUGAGUAGCGAUAAUUAAUGUGAGAAUCAUUAACGCCGUAAACCCAAGGUUUCCUACGCGAUGCUCGUCAUCGUAGGGUUAGUCGGGUCCUAAGUCGAGUCCGAAAGGGGUAGACGAUGGCAAAUUGGUUAAUAUUCCAAUACCAACAUUAGUGUGCGAUGGAAGGACGCUUAGGGCUAAGGGGGCUAGCGGAUGGAAGUGCUAGUCUAAGGUCGUAGGAGGUUAUACAGGCAAAUCCGUAUAACAAUACUCCGAGAACUGAAAGGCUUUUUGAAGUCUUCGGAUGGAUAGAAGAACCCCUGAUGCCAUCGAGCCAAGAAAAGUUUCUAAGUUUAGCUAAUGUUGCCCGUACCGUAAACCGACACAGGUGGGUGGGAUGAGUAUUCUAAGGCGCGUGGAAGAACUCUCUUUAAGGAACUCUGCAAAAUAGCACCGUAUCUUCGGUAUAAGGUGUGGUUCGCUUCGUAUUAGGAUUUACUCCGAAAGCGAAGAAACUUACAACAAAGAGUCCCUCCCGACUGUUUACCAAAAACACAGCACUCUGCUAACUCGUAAGAGGAUGUAUAGGGUGUGACGCCUGCCCGGUGCUCGAAGGUUAAUUGAUGGGGUUAGCAUUAGCGAAGCUCUUGAUCGAAGCCCGAGUAAACGGCGGCCGUAACUAUAACGGUCCUAAGGUAGCGAAAUUCCUUGUCGGUUAAAUACCGACCUGCAUGAAUGGCGUAACGAGAUGGGAGCUGUCUCAAAGAGGGAUCCAGUGAAAUUGUAGUGGAGGUGAAAAUUCCUCCUACCCGCGGCAAGACGGAAAGACCCCGUGGACCUUUACUACAGCUUGACACUGCUAUUUGGAUAAGAAUGUGCAGGAUAGGUGGGAGGCUUUGAGUAUAUGACGCCAGUUGUAUAUGAGCCAUUGUUGAGAUACCACUCUUUCUUAUUUGGGUAGCUAACCAGCUUGAGUUAUCCUCAAGUGGGACAAUGUCUGGUGGGUAGUUUGACUGGGGCGGUCGCCUCCCAAAUAAUAACGGAGGCUUACAAAGGUUGGCUCAGAACGGUUGGAAAUCGUUCGUAGAGUAUAAAGGUAUAAGCCAGCUUAACUGCAAGACAUACAAGUCAAGCAGAGACGAAAGUCGGUCUUAGUGAUCCGGUGGUUCUGUGUGGAAGGGCCAUCGCUCAAAGGAUAAAAGGUACCCCGGGGAUAACAGGCUGAUCUCCCCCAAGAGCUCACAUCGACGGGGAGGUUUGGCACCUCGAUGUCGGCUCAUCGCAUCCUGGGGCUGGAGCAGGUCCCAAGGGUAUGGCUGUUCGCCAUUUAAAGCGGUACGCGAGCUGGGUUCAGAACGUCGUGAGACAGUUCGGUCCCUAUCUGCCGUGGGCGUAAGAAGAUUGAAGAGAUUUGACCCUAGUACGAGAGGACCGGGUUGAACAAACCACUGGUGUAGCUGUUGUUCUGCCAAGAGCAUCGCAGCGUAGCUAAGUUUGGAAAGGAUAAACGCUGAAAGCAUCUAAGCGUGAAGCCAACUCUAAGAUGAAUCUUCUCUAAGCUCUCUAGAAGACUACUAGUUUGAUAGGCUGGGUGUGUAAUGGAUGAAAGUCCUUUAGCUGACCAGUACUAAUAGAGCGUUUGGCUUAUCUUUAAUAAAGCAU